AUGUUUAAUCGCUUACCUCUGGGUAAAACGAUGUUUAAAGGCCUACCUCUGGGUAAAACCAUGUUUAAAGGCCUACCUCUGGGUAAAAUGAUGUUUAAAGGCCUACCUCUUGGUAAAACAAUGUUUAAACGCCUACCUCUGGGUAAAACGAUGUUUAAAGGCCUACCUCUUGGUAAAACAAUGUUUAUACGCCUACCUCUUGGUAAAACAAUGUUUAAAGGCCUACCUCUUGGUAAAACAAUGUUUAAAGGCCUACCUCUUAGUAAAACAAUGUUUAAAGGCCUACCUCUUAGUAAAACCAUGUUUAAAGGCCUACCUCUUAGUAAAACAAUGUUUAAAGGCCUACCUCUUAGUAAAACAAUGUUUAAAGGCCUACCUCUUAGUAAAACCAUGUUUAAAGGCCUACCUCUUAGUAAAACAAUGUUUAAAGGCCUACCUCUUAGUAAAACAAUGUUUAAAGGCCUACCUCUUGGUAAAACAAUGUUUAAAGGCCUACCUCUUGGUAAAACAAUGUUUAAAGGCCUACCUCUUGGUAAAACAAUGUUUAAAGGCCUACCUCUUGGUAAAACGAUGUUUAAAGGCCUACCUCUUGGUAAAACGAUGUUUAAAGGCCUAACUCUUGGUAAAACAAUGUUUAAAGGCCUACCUCUUAGUAAAACAAUGUUUAAAGGCCUACCUCUUGGUAAAACAAUGUUUAAAGGCCUACCUCUUGGUAAAACAAUGUUUAAAGGCCUACCUCUGGGUAAAACCAUGUUUAAAGGCCUACCUCUUAGUAAAACCAUGUUUAAAGGCCUACCUCUUAGUAAAACCAUGUUUAAAGGCCUACCUCUUGGUAAAACAAUGUUUAAAGGCCUACCUCUUGGUAAAACAAUGUUUAAAGGCCUACCUCUUGGUAAAACCAUGUUUAAAGGCCUACCUCUUGGUAAAACAAUGUUUAAAGGCCUACCUCUUGGUAAAACAAUGUUUAAAGGCCUACCUCUUAGUAAAACUUACAGUAUGUCUAAUUAUUUACAGAUUAUCUUUGUGAGCCCAUAUGUCCAGUUUCUCUGUCAAAGAGCUUCAUUGGUAGAUAAAGGCAGUAAUGCUAAAGUGAUGCCACUUUAUCUCCAUGUUGUUGAGUAA
RNAcentral lists this long non-coding RNA (1122 nucleotides) under Oncorhynchus mykiss (rainbow trout). Its description in RNAcentral is "lncRNA (ENSOMYG00000071052.1)". Lineage: Eukaryota; Metazoa; Chordata; Actinopteri; Salmoniformes; Salmonidae. The record is from RNAcentral.